GGGCAAUCAACCACUUUGACGAUUUCCUACAGUAUUUACAAGUUUGCGGCCUCCUCAUCUUUUAGUUUUGCGAUUCUGAGCGUGAUAACAUAAUCGUGAAAGGUAAUGUGGUUAAAUCAUUGAAUUUUUUGUUCAGUUUUACCCAACUGCCGCCUGCGAAAUUGAAUCUUUUGGUCACCCCUUAAGGCAAGCUGUGAUACGUGAAUGACCCUCACGAAUUUGAGUUCAAGUCUGACGAUAGUAAUUGAUGAUAAUUGCAGGCUGGUCUGUGUUUAAUUCAUCCUUAUAAUGUGCGAUAAUGGCGGUACAACAAAUUACAGAUGUGGACGGAAUAGUGUCGAGUAUAUCAUUGCACACAAAGCAAAAUUCAACAUUUACUCAAUUCAUGCUAACAGAUUUCUGUGAAAUUCAGCAGAUUGCUGAAAUUAUAAUUUUUUAUUUAUGUUUACGGCUCUGGAUUAGCAUUAAGUCAUGCUUAAAAUAAAAGAGAUUAAGAUUAACUGACCAUUCUGAAUUUGAUAAUUUUUCUUCGGCAUUAUUUUCUAUCGGCAUUUUCCAUGAAUUCCUCCACAAGCUGUUGUUCGAAAGUAACACUUCCGAUGUUA
Long non-coding RNA from Hermetia illucens (black soldier fly), 605 nucleotides. RefSeq lists it as uncharacterized. The record is from RefSeq and is a predicted model, not a curated record. The transcript has 3 exons. Lineage: Eukaryota; Metazoa; Arthropoda; Insecta; Diptera; Stratiomyidae.